This 66-nucleotide transfer RNA is filed under the name Chrysomallon squamiferum (scaly-foot gastropod). RNAcentral describes it as "tRNA-His". Lineage: Eukaryota; Metazoa; Mollusca; Gastropoda; Neomphalida; Peltospiridae. The record is from RNAcentral.
AUCAAGUUAGUUUAAUAAAAACAUUAGGAUGUGGGCCUGAGGAUAAAGUGUGGUCUUUACUUGAUU